CAAGAUAGUGCUUCAUUCAGUAUUGCUGUAUCUAGAGCCACUUGAUUAUUACUGAAUCAUUGUAUGACGAAUUCCAAAAUUAGAAGCACACAUUCAUGUCAAUUUUAGCUAUUAAAGCACAAGUCCUAACUAGAGACAUGGGAAUUUCAAACAGAUCCAUAACGUGCAAACCACAGUUUGAUUAAAUCAAUUUCUGCAAUAAAAGUACUAUAUUUG
Molecule: unclassified non-coding RNA, 216 nt
Filed under: Hevea brasiliensis (rubber tree)
Lineage: Eukaryota; Viridiplantae; Streptophyta; Magnoliopsida; Malpighiales; Euphorbiaceae
Source: RNAcentral